GUGAAGGAGGAAGUGACAUCUGUAUUCUCCCAAGUCUUUUCAUUGGAGAAGCAUGAGCUGCUUGAUUAUAAUUAUCUGUGUGGAAUGACCAGAAUGAAGAAGCUGAAACGACCUUCUGUCAACUGUAGUUUUUCCUGGAAUGGGCAGGAGGUUGCAUCCUUGACUGGACAGGGUAGUCUAUAUAUUAUGGCAAACACACCACUGCCAUCUAAGGUUUCAGAGAUCGUCAAGUGUGAUGGUGAUGAUGAUGACGAUGAAGAUGAUUAUGAUGAUGUUUACAUCAGAAGUGAAGAGAAAGUGAUAGAUAAUAGUACUUCCCAUCAAUGUUUAAUAAGGUGUACAGUGGAAGAACCAUGAGCUAUUUCUAUGCAACGUCUAAUAACCUUUAGAUUGGGAAUUCUGAUGUUGACAGCAAAGACCUGGAGACAUUACGAGUAAUGUUUCCUCAAACAUCAGUAAAGCAAUUUGAAGAGGCAUUAAAAGACAAUGUCAAUAUAGAUUUUGCCAUUGAGGAAUUGCUCUCCAAUUCAGCUGAAACUGUUGAAAGUUUGGGUAAUUUUGAAACAGCAGAAUACUUCAGACGACAGUUGACUGGAAAGAUUUAUACUGUCAGUUUCUAGAGAUAAUUUUUGGCAAGAGGGAUUUAUGUUUUACAAACAAGGUGGUGCAAAUUUAGAAAGACAUUCCAUGUUUCAUUUGAUGACAAUGGAACAGAGCUUGGUAUAGACACCGGUGGGCUUCGUAGAGAGUUUUUCCAGUUAUUGGCAGAUAACAUGACGUAAACUUACUUCGGUUUUUUUGAUGAAGACAUUCCGAAUCUUUUGCCGGCAAUGAAAGGCCCAGCAUUAAGACUUGAUCACUUCCGCAUUUUUGGAACUAUGAUUGCACACUACAUAGCAAAUGGAGGAAUAGGAUUUCCAUUUAUGGGUCGGCCCUUGUUCGAAUACAUUUUGAAUCAAAAUGCCGAGUCCUGUCUCUUGUUCUGCAAGUCCGAAAUGGUUCCACAUAAAGAAACAAAGGAACUGGUCCAAGAGGUUUCUACAUGUACUGAAAAAAACUUUUCUCGAUAAGCUUCACGGCCAGAUGUGUUAGACUACAUAGUCUAACAAUACAGGUUAGACUGGUGCUAUUACCUUUAAGGAAAAAGAGCAGAUUGUUGCGACUGCCAUUUUUCACGAAGUUAUAUGGAAGCGAGAAUCUGCCAUCAAUCAACUUCUGCAAGGACUAAAGUUUUUCAAGGUUCAGGAAACUGCUAGAAAAUUUCCUCAGCACUCUCUGCCGAAAUUUGUCUCGACGAAUAUGGUUUUGAACAGCAAUGUCUUGCUGCAGCAUGUUAAAUUUAGGGAGGCAUAAACGAGUCGGAAAAACGAACCAAACAAUUUGAGUAUAUAGAAGAGAACAUCGAAAUAGCGUGUGGCGAUGUUCAUUACUGGACAACAGUCAGUCGCUGGAAGCCUUCCCAGCAAAAAGAUGUUGCAUUUAUCGAGGAUCUAGAGGCAAGUUACCCUACAGCUGGCACAUGCGGAAUAAAGUUUUAUCUUCUAACAAAACAUCUAAUGUUCAACCAAUUCUCAGCAGCCAUGGACAAAGCACUGGAGUGUGAGUCUUAUGGUUUUCACUGUUUUUGAUCGACAAAGUACAAUGCUCAAAAUGAAGGUUUCAAAUGUAGUUAAAAAUACUUGUUAUUUUUGAAACACUAGCACACCAAUUGUUUGAAAUAUUGUUUGGCAUAUUAACCGAAG
Xenia sp. Carnegie-2017 is the source of this 1742-nucleotide long non-coding RNA. RefSeq lists it as uncharacterized. The record is from RefSeq and is a predicted model, not a curated record. Lineage: Eukaryota; Metazoa; Cnidaria; Anthozoa; Malacalcyonacea; Xeniidae. The transcript is spliced from 8 exons.